CCUACGGGGGGCUGCAGUGGGGAAUAUUGCACAAUGGGCGCAAGCCUGAUGCAGCCAUGCCGCGUGUGUGAAGAGGGCCUUCGGGUUGUAAAGCACUUUCAGCGGGGAGGAAGGCGUUGAGGUUAAUAACCUCAUCGAUUGACGUUACCCGCAGAAGAAGCACCGGCUAACUCCGUGCCAGCAGCCGCGGUAAUACGGAGGGUGCAAGCGUUAAUCGGAAUUACUGGGCGUAAAGCGCACGCAGGCGGUCUGUCAAGUCGGAUGUGAAAUCCCCGGGCUCAACCUGGGAACUGCAUUCGAAACUGGCAGGCUAGAGUCUUGUAGAGGGGGGUAGAAUUCCAGGUGUAGCGGUGAAAUGCGUAGAGAUCUGGAGGAAUACCGGUGGCGAAGGCGGCCCCCUGGACAAAGACUGACGCUCAGGUGCGAAAGCGUGGGGAGCAAACAGGAUUAGAUACCCGAGUAGUC
This 465-nucleotide ribosomal RNA is filed under the name uncultured Klebsiella sp. Its description in RNAcentral is "bacterial SSU rRNA". It matches the Rfam family "Bacterial small subunit ribosomal RNA", at positions 338 to 795 of the family's 1533-position model. Lineage: Bacteria; Pseudomonadati; Pseudomonadota; Gammaproteobacteria; Enterobacterales; Enterobacteriaceae. The record is from RNAcentral.